This 292-nucleotide small nuclear RNA is filed under the name Marmota marmota marmota (Alpine marmot). RNAcentral's name for it is "7SK RNA (ENSMMMG00000024683.1)". It matches the Rfam family "7SK RNA". From Rfam's summary of the family: 7SK was discovered as an abundant small nuclear RNA in the mid-70s but a possible function has only recently been suggested. Two independent studies have found that 7SK RNA binds the CDK9/cyclin T complex (known as elongation factor P-TEFb). Lineage: Eukaryota; Metazoa; Chordata; Mammalia; Rodentia; Sciuridae. The record is from RNAcentral.
GGAUGUGAAGGUGAUCUGGCUGAGACAUCAGUCACCCCAUUGAACGCCAACAUUGAUUCAGUUGAUCUGGUUGGCUAAGCAGGUGUUCCCUUCUUCCCUCACCACUCCAUGUGCAUCCCUCCCAAAACUGCACACUCUUGUCAAAGAAGGCCACCUUCCCUAAUAACAGGAGGACAGAGGACCGUUUUCAGUCAAGGGUAUGUGAAUAACUGUACUCCCGUGCUAGAACUUACAAACAAGCUCUCAAAAAUGUAGUCACUAAUACAGGCUUAUUGAAGAGAAUCUUCAGCUU